RNAcentral lists this ribosomal RNA (264 nucleotides) under Klebsiella pneumoniae. RNAcentral's name for it is "partial 16S ribosomal RNA". It matches the Rfam family "Bacterial small subunit ribosomal RNA", at positions 1 to 262 of the family's 1533-position model. The record is from RNAcentral. Lineage: Bacteria; Pseudomonadati; Pseudomonadota; Gammaproteobacteria; Enterobacterales; Enterobacteriaceae.
AAAUUGAAGAGUUUGAUCAUGGCUCAGAUUGAACGCUGGCGGCAGGCCUAACACAUGCAAGUCGAGCGGUAGCACAGAGAGCUUGCUCUCGGGUGACGAGCGGCGGACGGGUGAGUAAUGUCUGGGAAACUGCCUGAUGGAGGGGGAUAACUACUGGAAACGGUAGCUAAUACCGCAUAACGUCGCAAGACCAAAGUGGGGGACCUUCGGGCCUCAUGCCAUCAGAUGUGACCCAGAUGGGAUUAGCUAGUAGGUGGGGUAACG